Molecule: ribosomal RNA, 138 nt
Filed under: uncultured eukaryote
Lineage: Eukaryota
Description: partial 18S ribosomal RNA
Rfam family: Eukaryotic small subunit ribosomal RNA
Source: RNAcentral
UGGUGGAGUGAUUUGUCUGGUUAAUUCCGAUAACGAACGAGACUCUGUCCUGCUAAAUAGAUGCAGCCUUUUUUUGGGUUGUAUUUUCUUUCUUAGAGGGACUGGCGAUUAUUAGUCGCACGAGAUUGAGCAAUAACA